GACGAACGCUGGCGGCGUGCUUAACACAUGCAAGUCGAACGGUAAGGCCCUGCGGGGUACACGAGGUGCGAACGGGCGAGUAACACGUGGGUGAUCUGCCCUGCACUUCGGGAUAAGCCUGGGCAACUGGGUCCGAUACCGGAUACGACCACUGCCGGCAAGGGGGGAGGUGGAAAGCUUUUGCGGUGCGGGAUGGGCCCGCGGGCUAUCAGCUUGUUGGUGGGGGGAUGGCCUACCAAGGCGACGACGGGUAGCCGGCCUGGGAGGGUGAACGGCCACACUGGGACUGAGAUACGGCCCAGACUCCUACGGGAGGCAGCAGUGGGGAAUAUUGCACAAUGGGCGCAAGCCUGAUGCAGAGACGCCGCGUGAGGGAUGACGGCCUUCGGGUUGUAAACCUCUUUCAGCACCGACGAAGCGCAAGUGACGGUAGGUGCAGAAGAAGGACCGGCCAACUACGUGCCAGCCGCCGCAGUAA
Molecule: ribosomal RNA, 478 nt
Filed under: uncultured bacterium
Lineage: Bacteria
Description: partial 16S ribosomal RNA
Rfam family: Bacterial small subunit ribosomal RNA
Source: RNAcentral